GAUUUCUGGUUUAGUGCGCUUGGCCCGCCACGGUUUCGUGCGUGAGUGCCGAUGCGCGCUUACCAUCCUUCUGGAGAACGUUCCUGCCCUUUACUGGUUUGGGUUCGCAAUCCAGAACUUUUACUUUGAAAAAAUUAGAGUGUUUAAAGCAGGCUUUUGCUAUGAAUACAUUAGCAUGGAAUAAUGAUUUAGGACUUGAGUCUUAUUUUGUUGGUUUCCAGGACUGAAGUAAUGAUUGAUAGGGAUAGUUGGGGGUGCUAGUAUUCAGCGGCCAGAGGUGAAAUUCUUGGAUUCGCUGAAGACUAACUUAUGCGAAAGCAUU
Molecule: ribosomal RNA, 322 nt
Filed under: uncultured Limnofila
Lineage: Eukaryota; Cercozoa; Cercomonadida
Description: SSU rRNA
Rfam family: Eukaryotic small subunit ribosomal RNA (bases 104-322)
Source: RNAcentral